GGAUGUGAGGGAGAGCUGGCUGUGACAUAUCACCCCAUUGAUCGCCAGUGUUGAUUUGGCUGAUCUGCCUGGCUUGGCAGGUGUCCCCUUCCUCCCAUACCACUCCAUAUGUGUCCCUCCCAAAGCUGUGCACUUGGUCUAAGAGGACGACCACCCCCCAUAGAGGAGGACCACUUCCUUGGUCAAGAGUGUAUAAGUAUCUGUGCUUGCUGGCUAGAACCUCCAAACAAGCUCUCAGUAUUGUAUUUAGUUUAUUUUUAAUUGAUGUUACAAUACUUAGAAAAGAUUUUGGACAUACAGUUGAUUGUUGAAUCA
Molecule: small nuclear RNA, 315 nt
Filed under: Heterocephalus glaber (naked mole-rat)
Lineage: Eukaryota; Metazoa; Chordata; Mammalia; Rodentia; Bathyergidae
Description: 7SK RNA
Rfam family: 7SK RNA
About the family: 7SK was discovered as an abundant small nuclear RNA in the mid-70s but a possible function has only recently been suggested. Two independent studies have found that 7SK RNA binds the CDK9/cyclin T complex (known as elongation factor P-TEFb).
Source: Rfam by way of RNAcentral